RNAcentral lists this ribosomal RNA (491 nucleotides) under uncultured bacterium. Its description in RNAcentral is "partial 16S ribosomal RNA". It matches the Rfam family "Bacterial small subunit ribosomal RNA", at positions 29 to 507 of the family's 1533-position model. The record is from RNAcentral.
GUGAACGCUGGCGGUAGGCCUAACCCCUGCAAGUCGCACGGCAGCACAGUAAGAGCUUGCUCUUACGGGUGGCGAGUGGCGGACGGGUGAGGAAUACAUCGGAAUCUACUUUUUCGUGGGGGAUAACGUAGGGAAACUUACGCUAAUACCGCAUACGACCUACGGGUGAAAGCAGGGGAUCUUCGGACCUUGCGCGAUUGAAUGAGCCGAUGUCGGAUUAGCUAGUUGGCGGGGUAAAGGCCCACCAAGGCGACGAUCCGUAGCUGGUCUGAGAGGAUGAUCAGCCACACUGGAACUGAGACACGGUCCAGACUCCUACGGGAGGCAGCAGUGGGGAAUAUUGGACAAUGGGCGCAAGUCUGAUCCAGCCAUACCGCGUGGGUGAAGAAGGCCUUCGGGUUGUAAAGCCCUUUUGUUGGGAAAGAAAAGCAGCAGGUUAAUACCCCGCUGUUCUGACGGUACCCAAAGAAUAAGCACCGGCUAACUUCGUG